ACUUUAAUUGAAGAGUUUGAUCAUGGCUCAGAUUGAACGCUGGCGGCAGGCCUAACACAUGCAAGUCGGGCGGUAGCACAGAGAGCUUGCUCUCGGGUGACGAGCGGCGGACGGGUGAGUAAUGUCUGGGAAACUGCCUGAUGGAGGGGGAUAACUACUGGAAACGGUAGCUAAUACCGCAUAACGUCUUCGGACCAAAGUGGGGGACCUUCGGGCCUCAUGCCAUCAGAUGUGCCCAGAUGGGAUUAGCUAGUAGGUGGGGUAAAGGCUCACCUAGGCGACGAUCCCUAGCUGGUCUGAGAGGAUGACCAGCCACACUGGAACUGAGACACGGUCCAGACUCCUACGGGAGGCAGCAGUGGGGAAUAUUGCACAAUGGGCGCAAGCCUGAUGCAGCCAUGCCGCGUGUAUGAAGAAGGCCUUCGGGUUGUAAAGUACUUUCAGCGAGGAGGAAGGUGUUGUGGUUAAUAACCGCAGCAAUUGACGUUACUCGCAGAAGAAGCACCGGCUAACUCCGUGCCAGCAGCCGCGGUAAUACGGAGGGUGCAAGCGUUAAUCGGAAUUACUGGGCGUAAAGCGCACGCAGGCGGUUUGUUAAGUCAGAUGUGAAAUCCCCGGGCUCAACCUGGGAACUGCAUUUGAAACUGGCAAGCUUGAGUCUCGUAGAGGGGGGUAGAAUUCCAGGUGUAGCGGUGAAAUGCGUAGAGAUCUGGAGGAAUACCGGUGGCGAAGGCGGCCCCCUGGACGAAGACUGACGCUCAGGUGCGAAAGCGUGGGGAGCAAACAGGAUUAGAUACCCUGGUAGUCCACGCCGUAAACGAUGUCGACUUGGAGGUUGUGCCCUUGAGGCGUGGCUUCCGGAGCUAACGCGUUAAGUCGACCGCCUGGGGAGUACGGCCGCAAGGUUAAAACUCAAAUGAAUUGACGGGGGCCCGCACAAGCGGUGGAGCAUGUGGUUUAAUUCGAUGCAACGCGAAGAACCUUACCUGGUCUUGACAUCCAGAGAAUCCUGCAGAGAUGCGGGAGUGCCUUCGGGAACUCUGAGACAGGUGCUGCAUGGCUGUCGUCAGCUCGUGUUGUGAAAUGUUGGGUUAAGUCCCGCAACGAGCGCAACCCUUAUCCUUUGUUGCCAGCACGUAAUGGUGGGAACUCAAAGGAGACUGCCGGUGAUAAACCGGAGGAAGGUGGGGAUGACGUCAAGUCAUCAUGGCCCUUACGACCAGGGCUACACACGUGCUACAAUGGCGCAUACAAAGAGAAGCGACCUCGCGAGAGCAAGCGGACCUCAUAAAGUGCGUCGUAGUCCGGAUUGGAGUCUGCAACUCGACUCCAUGAAGUCGGAAUCGCUAGUAAUCGUGGAUCAGAAUGCCACGGUGAAUACGUUCCCGGGCCUUGUACACACCGCCCGUCACACCAUGGGAGUGGGUUGCAAAAGAAGUAGGUAGCUUAACCUUCGGGAGGGCGCUUACCACUUUGUGAUUCAUGACUGGGGUGAAGUCGUAACAAGGUAACCGUAGGGGAACCUGCGGUUGGAUCACCUCCUUACCUGCAAGA
RNAcentral lists this ribosomal RNA (1554 nucleotides) under Cronobacter dublinensis subsp. dublinensis LMG 23823. Its description in RNAcentral is "bacterial SSU rRNA". It matches the Rfam family "Bacterial small subunit ribosomal RNA". Lineage: Bacteria; Pseudomonadati; Pseudomonadota; Gammaproteobacteria; Enterobacterales; Enterobacteriaceae. The record is from RNAcentral.